This 460-nucleotide ribosomal RNA is filed under the name uncultured bacterium. RNAcentral describes it as "partial 16S ribosomal RNA". It matches the Rfam family "Bacterial small subunit ribosomal RNA", at positions 338 to 795 of the family's 1533-position model. The record is from RNAcentral.
CCUACUGGUGGCAGCAGUGAGGAAUAUUGGUCAAUGGGCGGAAGCCUGAACCAGCCAAGUAGCGUGCAGGAUGACGGCCCUACGGGUUGUAAACUGCUUUUAUACGGGAAUAACGCGCCUUAUGUGUAGGGCUUUGCAUGUACCGUAUGAAUAAGGACCGGCUAAUUCCGUGCCAGCAGCCGCGGUAAUACGGAGGGUCCGCGCGUUAUCCGGAUUUAUUGGGUUUAAAGGGAGCGUAGGCCGGAUGUCAAGCGUGCUGUGAAAGGUCCGGGCUCAACCCUGGAAUUGCAGCGCAGACUGGCGUGCUUGAGUACGCGAAAGGCAGGCGGAAUUCGUGGUGUAGCGGUGAAAUGCUUAGAUAUGACGAAGAACCCCGAUUGCGAAGGCAGCUUGCUGCAGCGGAACUGACGCUGAUGCUCGAAAGCGCGGGUAUCGAACAGGAUUAGAUACCCUUGUAGUC